Molecule: long non-coding RNA, 461 nt
Filed under: Rattus norvegicus (Norway rat)
Lineage: Eukaryota; Metazoa; Chordata; Mammalia; Rodentia; Muridae
Description: long non-coding RNA NONRATT002967
Source: RNAcentral
CUCCGCUCCCCGCCUGACCCCUUUCGCCCCCAGCCAUCAAAGUGAAGGCUCCUCGGACUUUACAAGCCGGAGGACGGACUGGUCGGGACUGUCAGCUGCUCCGGGUCAAGGUCUAGCCCACCGCCACCCUCCCGUGCCACCCCCAUCCCAUCAUCUCCAAACGCUCCCAACUCCCUGGUGAGCGCUGCGGGCCGGGGGCUGGAUGCGGGGACGGCCGCGAUGGCCCCGCGCGCGGGACAGCGGGGGCUCUGGAGCCCGCUGCCAGGGCUGCUGCUCUUGGCGGCGGCGCUGAGCCGGCCCGCCGCGCCCUGUCCCUUCCAGUGUUACUGCUUCGGCAGUCCCCGGCUGCUGUUGCGCUGCGCGUCGGGCGCGGAGCUCCGGCAGCCGCCCCGGGACGUGCCACCCGACGCGCGCAACCUCACCAUCGUGGGCGCCAACCUGACCGUGCUGCGCGCGGCCGC